This is a small nuclear RNA of Acinonyx jubatus (cheetah), 105 nucleotides long. The record is from RefSeq and is a predicted model, not a curated record. Lineage: Eukaryota; Metazoa; Chordata; Mammalia; Carnivora; Felidae.
GCUUGCUUUGGCAGUGCAUAUACUAAAAUUAGAACGAUACAGAGAGUAUUAGCAUGGCCCCUGUGCAAGGAUGACACACAAAUUCAUAAAGUGUUCCUUAUUGUU